GAGACAGCAGCCGCCACGGUAAUACGGAGGGUGCAAGCGUUAUCCGGAUUCACUGGGUUUAAAGGGUGCGUAGGCGGAUCUGUAAGUCAGUGGUGAAAUCUCCAGGCUUAACCUGGAAACUGCCGUUGAUACUAUAGGUCUUGAAUUUUGUGGAGGUUAGCGGAAUAUGUCAUGUAGCGGUGAAAUGCAUAGAUAUGACAUAGAACACCAAUUGCGAAGGCAGCUGGCUACACAACUAUUGACGCUGAGGCACGAAAGCGUGGGGAUCAAACAGGAUUAGAUACCCCAGUAGUCCCUGUCUCUUAUAC
Molecule: ribosomal RNA, 308 nt
Filed under: uncultured bacterium
Lineage: Bacteria
Description: partial 16S ribosomal RNA
Rfam family: Bacterial small subunit ribosomal RNA
Source: RNAcentral